Molecule: small RNA, 28 nt
Filed under: Bombyx mori (domestic silkworm)
Lineage: Eukaryota; Metazoa; Arthropoda; Insecta; Lepidoptera; Bombycidae
Description: ovarian small RNA-20998
Source: RNAcentral
UACGAGCUAGCCCCCGGAUGAACUUCUC